Molecule: transfer RNA, 80 nt
Filed under: Oxytricha trifallax
Lineage: Eukaryota; Ciliophora; Spirotrichea; Sporadotrichida; Oxytrichidae
Description: tRNA-Cys
Rfam family: tRNA
About the family: Transfer RNA (tRNA) molecules are approximately 80 nucleotides in length. Their secondary structure includes four short double-helical elements and three loops (D, anti-codon, and T loops).
Source: RNAcentral
AAAAACGUAGUUUAUUGGUAAAACUCGGUAAAACCAGGAAUAGGGGGAUCCUGAAAUAAGUUCGACUCUUAUCGUUUUUU